AAAUUUUUAUUACAUAAAAAUAUGAAUGUAUGUUCAUUUAUGUACGAUGUCUUCUCUAAUUUUAUUUAACUUUAAUUAAAUCAUUUAAAAAUUAUUAAAACUUUGAAGAAGAAAAAACAUGUUUGAAACCAUGUGUGGGAAAAAAACAUAAAAAUUGAUAAAAAAAUCAUAGGAGAAAAAAUAAAAUCGAAAAACUAAAACCAAC
RNAcentral lists this long non-coding RNA (205 nucleotides) under Gossypium raimondii (Peruvian cotton). RNAcentral's name for it is "long non-coding RNA (GRAI_LNC002086)". Lineage: Eukaryota; Viridiplantae; Streptophyta; Magnoliopsida; Malvales; Malvaceae. The record is from RNAcentral.